Molecule: ribosomal RNA, 253 nt
Filed under: uncultured bacterium
Lineage: Bacteria
Description: partial 16S ribosomal RNA
Rfam family: Bacterial small subunit ribosomal RNA
Source: RNAcentral
UACGGAGGGUGCGAGCGUUGUCCGGAAUCAUUGGGCGUAAAGAGCGUGUAGGCGGCCAGACAGGUCCGUUGUGAAAACUGGAGGCUUAACCUUCAGACGUCGAUGGAAACCGUCUGGCUAGAGUCCGGAAGAGGAGAGUGGAAUUCCUGGUGUAGCGGUGAAAUGCGCAGAUAUCAGGAAGAACACCCGUGGCUAAGGCGGCUCUCUAGUACGGUACUGACGCUGAGACGCGAAAGCGUGGGGAGCGAACAGG